GACGAACGCUGGCGGCGUGCUUAACACAUGCAAGUCGAACGCUGAAGCUCAGCUUUUGUUGGGUGGAUGAGUGGCGAACGGGUGAGUAACACGUGAGUAACCUGCCUCCUUCUUUGGGAUAACGCCCGGAAACGGGUGCUAAUACUGGAUAUUCACUGGUCUUCGCAUGGGGGUUGGUGGAAAGGGUUUUUCUGGUGGGGGAUGGGCUCGCGGCCUAUCAGCUUGUUGGUGGGGUGAUGGCCUACCAAGGCUUUGACGGGUAGCCGGCCUGAGAGGGUGACCGGUCACAUUGGGACUGAGAUACGGCCCAGACUCGUACGGGAGGCAGCAGUGGGGAAUAAUGCACAAUGGGCGCAAGACUGAUGCAGCGACGCCGCGUGAGGGAUGGAGGCCUUCGGGUUGUGAACCUCUUUCGCUCAUGGUCAAGCCGCAACAAUGGUUGUGGUGAGGGUAGUGGGUAAAGAAGCGCCGGCUAACUACGUG
RNAcentral lists this ribosomal RNA (483 nucleotides) under uncultured bacterium. RNAcentral describes it as "partial 16S ribosomal RNA". It matches the Rfam family "Bacterial small subunit ribosomal RNA", at positions 28 to 507 of the family's 1533-position model. The record is from RNAcentral.